Long non-coding RNA from Saccostrea echinata, 802 nucleotides. RefSeq lists it as uncharacterized. The record is from RefSeq and is a predicted model, not a curated record. Lineage: Eukaryota; Metazoa; Mollusca; Bivalvia; Ostreida; Ostreidae. The transcript is spliced from 3 exons.
CUCAUGCUCUAGAAACGAGAUGUUGACAUGAUGUGUAAAUUACAGCUUCCUCCCAUGAAAACGUUAAAAAAAUUGGAGUACAUUGUUAUGAUGACCAGACUCGAAGGCAUUCAUGUAAUUGGGUGAAUCAAAGAGUCUCAGGAAUCUUCUGGACUAACCAAAAGUGAUGGCUGAAACAAAUAUUAACUGGUAGUCUACUUAGUGAUCUGGACACUGGAUAAGGCAGAAACCAUUUUCAACAGAACUGUUAAGAGUGUAAAUAAAAAAAAAACAAGAUACCCACUCUCCAACUCAUUCAUAGCUUCAUUCUUGGCUUCAUUGUGUUGAAUAUGAGUCAAGACUUUUCUAUUGUACCAAGGCUGAAGGGACUUUCAAACCAUAAACAACACCACCACAGAGCAGUUGACUUUCAUUUCUUCUUCUGAAUUUGUAUGUUAUACCCUUAAUUAUUACAGUGUGAAUUUACUUUGCACAGAAGAAGAUGUAAAUUAGCAUAACUUCAACAAGUAUUUACUUUGUCGGUUUCAGACACAUAACUCAAUUAUUUGGUAUUUUAAAAAAAAAUAAUUGGCAGCAUUUACUGUGGAAUCAUCAUUGUUCUUGGGGGAGGAUAGGUGGGUCAAACAUAUCCACUAAUUUAUAUUCCCACAAAUACUUAUUUUUUCAACUUGUCAAUUCAUUGAAUCUUUAACAUGUUUAACUAUGUAUUUUAAAGUUAACCUUAUGAAUUAUGUCAGACUCUGCACAAACCAGUUGAAUUAAUGCCUGCCCACUAACAGCUGAUUAAUGCCCCCCCCCCCCC